Vombatus ursinus (common wombat) is the source of this 298-nucleotide unclassified non-coding RNA. It matches the Rfam family "Metazoan signal recognition particle RNA". From Rfam's summary of the family: The signal recognition particle (SRP) is a universally conserved ribonucleoprotein. It is involved in the co-translational targeting of proteins to membranes. NCBI's taxonomy places the organism in Eukaryota, Metazoa, Chordata, Mammalia, Diprotodontia, Vombatidae. The record is from Ensembl.
ACCAGGCUUGACUGUGCAUGCCUUUAAUCCCUGCUACUGGGGAGGCCAUCACUGGUGGAUUGCUUGGGCUCAGGAGUUCUGAGUUACACUGUACCAAGCCAAUCUGGUGUCUACACUGAGUCCCGUACCAAUAUGGUAAGUCCCUGAGAGUGGGGAGCUACCAGGCUGCCUAAGAAGAGACAAACUAGCUCAGUUCAGAAAUGGAACUGGUCAAACCUUUUAUGAUGAUUAAUAAUGAGAUCAGACUUGUGAGUGGCCUCUGCAUUUCCUGCCUGGGUAAGUCAAGAAGACACAGUCU